UACAGAGGUCCCAAGCGUUGUUCGGAUUCACUGGGCGUAAAGGGUGCGUAGGCGGUCGGGUAAGUCUGAUGCGAAAUCUCCAAGCUCAACUUGGAAAUGGCAUCGGAUACUAUUCGGCUCGAGGAAUGGAGGGGAGACUGGAAUACUUGGUGUAGCGGUGAAAUGCGCAGAUAUCAGGAGGAACACCAAUUGCGAAGGCAGCUCGCUGGGACGUUACUGACGCUGAGACGCGAAAGCGUGGGGAGCAAACAGG
This 253-nucleotide ribosomal RNA is filed under the name uncultured bacterium. RNAcentral describes it as "partial 16S ribosomal RNA". It matches the Rfam family "Bacterial small subunit ribosomal RNA", at positions 524 to 776 of the family's 1533-position model. The record is from RNAcentral.